This 455-nucleotide ribosomal RNA is filed under the name uncultured bacterium. Its description in RNAcentral is "bacterial SSU rRNA". It matches the Rfam family "Bacterial small subunit ribosomal RNA", at positions 29 to 531 of the family's 1533-position model. The record is from RNAcentral.
AACGAACGCUGGCGGCAGGCCUAACACAUGCAAGUCGAGCGCCCCGCAAGGGGAGCGGCGGACGGGUGAGUAACGCGUGGGAACGUACCCUUUGCUACGGAAUAGCCUCGGGAAACUGGGAGUAAUACCGUAUGUGCCCUUCGGGGGAAAGAUUUAUCGGCAAAGGAUCGGCCCGCGUUGGAUUAGGUAGUUGGUGGGGUAAUGGCCUACCAAGCCGACGAUCCAUAGCUGGUUUGAGAGGAUGAUCAGCCACACUGGGACUGAGACACGGCCCAGACUCCUACGGGAGGCAGCAGUGGGGAAUCUUAGACAAUGGGCGCAAGCCUGAUCUAGCCAUGCCGCGUGAGCGAUGAAGGCCUUAGGGUUGUAAAGCUCUUUCAGUGGGGAAGAUAAUGACUGUACCCACAGAAGAAGCCCCGGCUAACUCCGUGCCAGCAGCCGCGGUAAAGUAGACG